AUUGAACGCUGGCGGCAUGCCUUACACAUGCAAGUCGAACGGUAACAGGUCUUCGGAUGCUGACGAGUGGCGAACGGGUGAGUAAUACAUCGGAACGUGCCCGAUCGUGGGGGAUAACGAAGCGAAAGCUUUGCUAAUACCGCAUACGAUCUACGGAUGAAAGCAGGGGACCGCAAGGCCUUGCGCGAACGGAGCGGCCGAUGGCAGAUUAGGUAGGUGGUGGGAUAAAAGCUUACCAAGCCGACGAUCUGUAGCUGGUCUGAGAGGACGACCAGCCACACUGGGACUGAGACGCGGCCCAGACUCCUACGGGAGGCAGCAGUGGGGAAUUUUGGACAAUGGGCGAAAGCCUGAUCCAGCCAUGCCGCGUGCAGGAUGAAGGCCUUCGGGUUGUAAACUGCUUUUGUACGGAACGAAAAGACUCUGGUUAAUACCUGGGGUCCGUGACGGUACCGUGAGAAUAAGCACCGGCUAACUACGUGCCAGCAGCCGCAGUAA
This 498-nucleotide ribosomal RNA is filed under the name uncultured bacterium. Its description in RNAcentral is "partial 16S ribosomal RNA". It matches the Rfam family "Bacterial small subunit ribosomal RNA", at positions 30 to 523 of the family's 1533-position model. The record is from RNAcentral.